AGUGAACGCUGGCGGUAGGCCUAACACACGCAAGUCGAACGGCAGCACAGUAAGAGCUUGCUCUUACGGGUGGCGAGUGGCGGACGGGUGAGGAAUACAUCGGAAUCUGCUUUUUCGUGGGGGAUAACGUAGGGAAACUUACGCUAAUACCGCAUACGACCUACGGGUGAAAGCAGGGGAUCUUCGGACCUUGCGCGAUUGAAUGAGCCGAUGUCGGAUUAGCUAGUUGGCGGGGUAAAGGCCCACCAAGGCGACGAUCCGUAGCUGGUCUGAGAGGAUGAUCAGCCACACUGGAACUGAGACACGGUCCAGACUCCUACGGGAGGCAGCAGUGGGGAAUAUUGGACAAUGGGCGCAAGCCUGAUCCAGCCAUACCGCGUGGGUGAAGAAGGCCUUCGGGUUGUAAAGCCCUUUUGUUGGGAAAGAAAAGCAGCAGGUUAAUACCCCGCUGUUCUGACGGUACCCAAAGAAUAAGCACCGGCUAACUUCGUG
RNAcentral lists this ribosomal RNA (492 nucleotides) under uncultured bacterium. RNAcentral's name for it is "partial 16S ribosomal RNA". It matches the Rfam family "Bacterial small subunit ribosomal RNA", at positions 29 to 507 of the family's 1533-position model. The record is from RNAcentral.